Molecule: ribosomal RNA, 615 nt
Filed under: unidentified microorganism
Description: bacterial SSU rRNA
Rfam family: Bacterial small subunit ribosomal RNA
Source: RNAcentral
GGGUAAUCUGCCCUGCACUUCGGGAUAAGCCUGGGAAACUGGGUCUAAUACCGGAUAUGAACUCCUGCCGCAUGGUGGGGGUUGGAAAGUUUUUCGGUGCAGGAUGAGCCCGCGGCCUAUCAGCUUGUUGGUGGGGUAAUGGCCUACCAAGGCGACGACGGGUAGCCGGCCUGAGAGGGUGAUCGGCCACACUGGGACUGAGACACGGCCCAGACUCCUACGGGAGGCAGCAGUGGGGAAUAUUGCACAAUGGGCGAAAGCCUGAUGCAGCGACGCCGCGUGGGGGAUGACGGUCUUCGGAUUGUAAACCCCUUUCAGUAGGGACGAAGCGCAAGUGACGGUACCUGCAGAAGAAGCACCGGCUAACUACGUGCCAGCAGCCGCGGUAAUACGUAGGGUGCGAGCGUUGUCCGGAAUUACUGGGCGUAAAGAGCUCGUAGGCGGUUUGUCACGUCGUCUGUGAAAUCCCUCGGCUUAACCGGGGGCGUGCAGGCGAUACGGGCAGACUUGAGUACUACAGGGGAGACUGGAAUUCCUGGUGUAGCGGUGAAAUGCGCAGAUAUCAGGAGGAACACCGGUGGCGAAGGCGGGUCUCUGGGUAGUAACUGACGCUGA